CAGCAGCCGCGGGAAUACCGAGGGUGCAAGCGUUAAUCGGAAUUACUGGGCGUAAAGUGCGCGUAGGUGGUUUGUUAAGUUGGAUGUGAAAUCCCCGGGCUCAACCUGGGAACUGCAUCCAAAACUGGCAAGCUAGAGUAUGGUAGAGGGUGGUGGAAUUUCCUGUGUAGCGGUGAAAUGCGUAGAUAUAGGAAGGAACACCAGUGGCGAAGGCGACCACCUGGACUGAUACUGACACUGAGGUGCGAAAGCGUGGGGAGCAAACAGGAUUAGAUACCCCAGUAGUCCCUGUCUCUUAUAC
RNAcentral lists this ribosomal RNA (301 nucleotides) under uncultured bacterium. Its description in RNAcentral is "partial 16S ribosomal RNA". It matches the Rfam family "Bacterial small subunit ribosomal RNA", at positions 509 to 807 of the family's 1533-position model. The record is from RNAcentral.